Molecule: ribosomal RNA, 206 nt
Filed under: uncultured bacterium
Lineage: Bacteria
Description: partial 16S ribosomal RNA
Rfam family: Bacterial small subunit ribosomal RNA
Source: RNAcentral
UGCGUAGGCGGGUUAUUAAGUCAGUGGUGAAAUCCUGCGGCUCAACCGUAGAACUGCCAUUGAUACUGAUAAUCUUGAAUGCAGUUGAGGUAGGCGGAAUGUGUAAUGUAGCGGUGAAAUGCUUAGAUAUUACACAGAACACCGAUUGCGAAGGCAGCUUGCUAAACUGUGAUUGACGCUGAUGCACGAAAGCGUGGGAGCGAACA